This 497-nucleotide ribosomal RNA is filed under the name uncultured bacterium. Its description in RNAcentral is "partial 16S ribosomal RNA". It matches the Rfam family "Bacterial small subunit ribosomal RNA", at positions 28 to 507 of the family's 1533-position model. The record is from RNAcentral.
GAUGAACGCUGGCGGCGUGCCUAAUACAUGCAAGUCGAGCGAACAGAUGAGGAGCUUGCUCCUCUGACGUUAGCGGCGGACGGGUGAGUAACACGUGGAUAACCUACCUAUAAGACUGGGAUAACUUCGGGAAACCGGAUCUAAUACCGGAUAAUAUAUUGCACCGCAUGGUUCAAUAGUGAAAGACGGUUUUGCUGUCACUUAUAGCUGGAUCCCCGCCGCAUUAGCUAGUUGGUAAGGUAACGGCUUACCAAGGCAACGAUGCGUAGACGACCUGAGAGGGGGAUAGGCCACACGGGAGCUGGGACAGGGUCAAGACGACUAAGGGAGGAAGCAGAAGGGAAUCUGCCGCAAUGGGAGAAAGCAUGACGGAGCAACGCGGAGUGAGUGAUGAAGGUGUUGGGAGCGGAAAAAUGUGUUAUGAGGGAAGAACAAAUGUGGAAGUAACUAUGCACGUAGUGACGGUAACUAAUCAGAAAGCAACGGCUAACUACGUG